GAUGAAGAACGCAGCGAAAUGCGAUAAGUAAUGUGAAUUGCAGAUUUCAGUGAAUCAUCGAAUCUUUGAACGCACCUUGCACCCUUUGGAAUUUUCUAAAGGGUAUGCUCGUUUGAGUGUCAUUGUACUCUCACACUCUCCGAUCCUUUGGAUAUGGGGAGCGGUGGACUUGGGUGCUUGCUGCUUCCUUGUGGCUCACCUGAAAUGCGUCAGUGCAUCUCUUGAUUGGACAUAGUACGGCGUGAUAAGUGUCUUCGCCGGCACCUCAUAAGAGGGUGGCCGAUCGGGAGCUCUGUGCUUUCAAACCGUCUUCGGACAAUCCCUGACAACUUGACCUCAAAUCGAGUAGGACUACCCGCUGAACUUAAGCAUAUCAAUAAGCGGAGGA
Molecule: unclassified non-coding RNA, 388 nt
Filed under: soil metagenome
Description: partial contains 5.8S ribosomal RNA, internal transcribed spacer 2, and large subunit ribosomal RNA
Rfam family: 5.8S ribosomal RNA (bases 1-122)
Source: RNAcentral